AUAUGCUUGUUCCAAAGAUUAAGCCAUGCAUGCGUUAGAUUAAAAGUAGCUUGAACUCAAUCUGCGAAAGGCUCCGUAUAUCUGUUGAAACCUUAGGCGGAAAAGCUGGAGAUGGAAUCGGAUUGGAUCGGCAACGGACAACCGAGGAAAUCCUUUGGCUAAUACGCUAUACAAAAAACUUGAACACAGAAGGUGUCUGCACAGAAAGGCCCCUUCUAAGCAAUUGGGGGGAGUAUUAACACACUUCUUGUGGGUCGUGGGGGGAGGCGCGUUGAGGGCAGAGUGCCGUUCUCGAAACCUUGUCUGGAGACAGGGGAGUACAGGGUGGUCAGCAUUUUUGGCUUUUAGCUCCCUUAAACAAGGGGCGGCCGGGGGUGCCUGCCUCCACGUGGAAAGAACCUGCGAGUACCUCACUGGGGGCCUGGAGGUCAACAGCAUCUGGCGUGUUCUUCAGACCUAUCAACUACAUGCAUGGGGCACGGCCCCACAUGGUUUCAACAGGUACAGAGGAUCAGGGUUCGGUCCUGGAGAGGUAGCCUAAGAGAUCGCUACUACUUCUAAGGAAGGCAGCAGGCGCGCAACGUUCCCCAUGGGGAAACCCUGAGGACGUGAAGGAACAUAGCAAUACCGAGCCCUUAAAAGCCCGGUAAUUGAAAUGGGGGAGAUACAAAUCACCCACCGAGUAACAAUUGGAGGACAAGUCUGGUGCCAGCACCCGCGGUAAUUCCAGCUCCAAUAGCAUCUCAUUAAGUUGUUGCAGUUAAAACGCUCGUAGUCGGAGUAGGCGAGCCCCUGCAGCUAGCAGUGCUCUCAGAAAACAGCUUGGCACAGCCAAGCCUGAACUUGAAGUCUGCCCCAGAACGACCUUGCCUUGAUCCCCGGACCUGAUACCGACCCCAGUAAUGGGCGAGGGGUAAGCGAAGGGGGGAUGGGACCGUGGGGAAGGGAAAGGGGUCGACGAUAGGAAGUAGGCGACAGCCCCCUCGCUCGUGAGUAUGUUGGGUGCCGUGUUGUGGGGGUUUGCCGACAGCUUUGGGUCGAUGGUAGGUUGGGACUUAAGUGGCCCUCUCUAUCUCCCCGGGGCAUUUUACUUUGAAUAAAUUAGAGCGCUCAACGCGGGUCAUCUAUAGGACCUUUAGCGUUAUCUUAUAUAACCCUUGUACACUUCAGCAAAGAAUAAUACAGUACGCCGUCUACGGCAAACUGUGUUGGUCGUAGUCAAGGGAAUGAUUAAUUGGGGGGAUCGGGGCCAGCCACAUGGCAGGGGUAGGGGUGAAAUCCGUUGAUCCUUGCCAGGUGAACAAACGCGAAAGCAGCUGGCUAGUACCCUUUCUUUGAUCAAGAACGAAAGUAUGAGGAUCGAAGAUGAUCAGAUACCAUCGUAGUUCAUACUAUAAAUGAUGCCGGCCGCGGAUGGGUUUCCCGUCCAUCCUGACAGAGCCUGCACUCUGUGAGAAAUCACCAGCGUUUGGGCUCCGGGGGGAGUAUGGUCGCAAGAC
This 1499-nucleotide ribosomal RNA is filed under the name Calomyxa metallica. Its description in RNAcentral is "SSU rRNA". It matches the Rfam family "Eukaryotic small subunit ribosomal RNA", at positions 26 to 1137 of the family's 1831-position model. Lineage: Eukaryota; Evosea; Eumycetozoa; Trichiida; Dianemataceae. The record is from RNAcentral.